AUGUUCACUUUGGCAGCACAUACAAUAAAAUUGAAGCAAUACAAAGAAGAUUACCACGGCCCCUGCACAAGGAUGACAAGCAAAUUCAUCAAGCAUGCCAUAUUUUU
RNAcentral lists this small nuclear RNA (107 nucleotides) under Propithecus coquereli (Coquerel's sifaka). The record is from RNAcentral. Lineage: Eukaryota; Metazoa; Chordata; Mammalia; Primates; Indriidae.